RNAcentral lists this ribosomal RNA (468 nucleotides) under uncultured bacterium. RNAcentral's name for it is "partial 16S ribosomal RNA". It matches the Rfam family "Bacterial small subunit ribosomal RNA", at positions 28 to 507 of the family's 1533-position model. The record is from RNAcentral.
GGCGAACGCUGGCGGCGUGCUUAACACAUGCAAGUCGAACGGAAAGGCCCUGCUUUUGUGGGGUGCUCGAGUGGCGAACGGGUGAGUAACACGUGAGUAACCUGCCCUUGACUUUGGGAUAACUUCAGGAAACUGGGGCUAAUACCGGAUAGGAGCUCCUGCUGCAUGGUGGGGGUUGGAAAGUUUCGGCGGUUGGGGAUGGACUCGCGGCUUAUCAGCUUGUUGGUGGGGUAGUGGCUUACCAAGGCUUUGACGGGUAGCCGGCCUGAGAGGGUGACCGGCCACACUGGGACUGAGAUACGGCCCAGACGCCUACGGGAGGCAGCAGUGGGGAAUAUUGCACAAUGGGCGGAAGCCUGAUGCAGCAACGCCGCGUGCGGGAUGACGGCCUUCGGGUUGUAAACCGCUUUCGCCUGUGACGAAGCGUGAGUGACGGUAAUGGGUAAAGAAGCACCGGCUAACUACGUG